UACAGGUUUAGUGAUUAUUUUUUCCCCCAGAGGAGCAUUUUGUACACUUUCCCUAAAAUGAACUCAUAUCUGAUUUCUAGGGACCAUCUGACACAGACAUCAGCUUCCAAGGCCAGCUUCUAACCCCAAGUCCCCCCUCCCGAAUACAGGAGGGACACUGAUACACUCGCCACUCCCAACCUUCUGUGACACGUGCAUCAUCACACCUGGACAUUCUGUAAGGGAUGAGAGAGGCGGUGCAGACAGCAGGGAGGGGAGAGAAACCCUGCAAAUCAAGAAGAGGCCCUCCCAGUCCUUUCUUAGCAACCAGGGGCUGAAAUGCGAGACUACUGGGAAGCACGAGGCAGCACAUGGAUUCUAGUUUUUACAUGAGUGGCCCCCUGGUUUCCUGGUUCUCCUGCUCACACAUGGUAAACUGUAGCAUUUCUUGGCUUCCAUAACCAUCCUGCCCCAGUGAUCUGAGUGUGAAGCAACGACAGACUCAUCAACUGGCCCCCAAAUGGCAGCUGCAGGAUGGAGAGACCAGGGGGGCAGGGGUUGGUGAGAAGGCGUCGAAAGACAGAGGAACAAGAUACAGAAUUCAGAGAUGCUAACAUGGGGAGGAGAUGCAGACUCUUCACCCCCACCCUCCCUGGAGGCAAACUCCAGCACCAGAAGAGAAUUUCACAUCUUAACCCCAGCCCCACGCCAGGCUCCAAAUGUCUGGUGUCCCCGUGCUGGUCACAAAUACUCCCGGAAGCAUGAGAGAGGGGCAGCUGGACUCAUCUCACAUCUGAGGAGGCUUUGUCCUUGCAUCACGUGAACCUCUCCUAAGUAUUCCAUUGGCCAAAAAGUUUGUUUGGGCUUUUAUUAAGCUGAGAUGGCAAAACCCAAACAAACUUUUUGACCAAUCCAAUAGUUCCUGCCAUGGGUGCAGUUUUACUUCUGGGUGAUUUUUUGUGAAUAAACUAGACUUGCCUCAGGCCUUCAAGCUGCAUGAGGGCAUGUGAAGUUUUGUUCACAAGCAUGAACCCAGGCCCUGAUCCUCAAAGUCAGCCAAGAAAAGGCUGAAGGGCCUAAGGGAGGGAAAAACCAUGUAUUCAUGUAUGCUCCCCAGUAUUUGACACUUUAGAGGUAUUCAGAGAGAGAGAGGAGGUGAUCUGUGUGUGCCUGCUUCUCACAGGCAUCCUGACCCCCUGGCUGGCAUUGUCAGCUGGAUUAGGAAGAAACAAUGAUACACAUUAGCCCAACUCCCACUGAACCCAAGCAACCUCAGCCUCCUUCAGGUUCUACUUACCCUGUAGAGCUGCCUCUCUGAUUUGCUCUCAGAUGUUCACGAACUGGGGAACCACUCGCUUGAUCUUGCCUUCUGCAUACCUGAACUGCACAGUCAUUGCUUCCCUUGGCUCAGCCACAAGCUAAUCGAGACCUCUGCAAGCUUCUAGACUAGCAUACCUUCUGCUGUGAGGUGCACACAGAGUAAAACCCACAGUGUUACACCCAGGCUGUAAGUUAAUCUCCAAAACUGCUGUCUGUUGACAAGGCAGCCUCUCACCCCACUCUGCCGCCCAGGAGUGAUCUGGUUUGGAGGAGACAAUGCAUCACAGUGGAGGAGAGAUGAGCUAAGAAUCCAGAAAGCUGGGUUACCGGUCCAGCUCUGCCACGGAACCUUGUGACCACGGGGAAGGCAGUAUCAGUGUCUCACUCUGGGCCUCGUAUUCCCACCUGUAAAAUGUGAGAGGUGAACCAGAAGCUUCCUUGGCAUGAAGCAUGGCAUGGGUGGGAGGCAGGUGCAAUGUGAAGUCUCUCAGGCUCAAGUUCAAAUCCCUGCUCUGUCAUUUCAUGUCUCAGCAACUCUGAGAAAGUUACUGAGCGCUUGGUAGCCUCAGAUUCUUCCUAUGUAAGAUGGAGAUGAUAACAAUACGUCACUGGCAUUACUAUGUUCACCUUUCCCUUCCCGUCUGCUCUCCAAACUGCUUUUUAAAGCACAAAUCUGAUCACAGGGGUCUCCCU
Molecule: long non-coding RNA, 1992 nt
Organism: Odocoileus virginianus texanus
Lineage: Eukaryota; Metazoa; Chordata; Mammalia; Artiodactyla; Cervidae
Source: RefSeq, a predicted model, not a curated record